This 78-nucleotide transfer RNA is filed under the name Pseudomonadota bacterium. RNAcentral's name for it is "Proteobacteria bacterium (marine metagenome) tRNA-Arg". The stretch from base 4 to 72 matches the Rfam family "tRNA". From Rfam's summary of the family: Transfer RNA (tRNA) molecules are approximately 80 nucleotides in length. Their secondary structure includes four short double-helical elements and three loops (D, anti-codon, and T loops). The record is from RNAcentral. Lineage: Bacteria; Pseudomonadati; Pseudomonadota.
CGCGCCUGUAGCUCAGCUGGAUAGAGUACCUGGCUUCGAACCAGGUGGUCGGGGGUCCGAGUACCUCCAGGCCGGCCA